RNAcentral lists this long non-coding RNA (248 nucleotides) under Chrysolophus pictus (golden pheasant). RNAcentral describes it as "lncRNA (ENSCPIG00010014082.1)". The record is from RNAcentral. Lineage: Eukaryota; Metazoa; Chordata; Aves; Galliformes; Phasianidae.
UUCUGUAUCAUGUAACUUGCUUAUAUUUCUUUUUAAACCUUUAGGAACUCUCCAGAUCUUUUUUGUUAUGUGAUUGCUGAAGCAUUUUCCUGGCACAGCAGUAAUGAUUGAUGAACACGCUUCAGGGGCUUGCUUUGUGACCUGGGUUAUGAUCUAUGUCUACUACUGAAGCUAUCUUAACUGGUGUGAGAAAUCAAACAAAUCUGUUUGAGACUUCUGGAACAAUAUGAAAAAACAUUGGUACUUAA